GACGAACGCUGGCGGCGUGCCUAAUACAUGCAAGUAGAACGCUGAAGACUUUAGCUUGCUAAAGUUGGAAGAGUUGCGAACGGGUGAGUAACGCGUAGGUAACCUGCCUACUAGCGGGGGGAUAACUAUUGGAAACGACUGCUAAUACCGCAUAAGCCCACAGCUCGGCAUCGAGCAGAGGGAAAAGGAGUGAUCCGCUUUGAGAUGGCCUCGCGUCCGAUUAGCUGGUUGGUGAGGUAACGGCCCACCAAGGCGACGAUCGGUAGCCGGACUGAGAGGUUGAACGGCCACAUUGGGACUGAGACACGGCCCAG
RNAcentral lists this ribosomal RNA (314 nucleotides) under uncultured bacterium. Its description in RNAcentral is "bacterial SSU rRNA". It matches the Rfam family "Bacterial small subunit ribosomal RNA", at positions 28 to 334 of the family's 1533-position model. The record is from RNAcentral.